GCCAGUGUAGCUCAGUGGCAGAGCGCGGGUUUCAUAAGCCUAAGGUCGGCGGUUCGAUCCCGCCCACUGGCACCA
Molecule: transfer RNA, 75 nt
Filed under: Puniceicoccales bacterium
Lineage: Bacteria; Pseudomonadati; Verrucomicrobiota; Opitutia; Puniceicoccales
Description: tRNA-Met
Rfam family: tRNA
About the family: Transfer RNA (tRNA) molecules are approximately 80 nucleotides in length.
Source: RNAcentral